This 460-nucleotide ribosomal RNA is filed under the name uncultured bacterium. Its description in RNAcentral is "partial 16S ribosomal RNA". It matches the Rfam family "Bacterial small subunit ribosomal RNA", at positions 338 to 795 of the family's 1533-position model. The record is from RNAcentral.
CCUACGGGUGGCAGCAGUGAGGAAUAUUGGUCAAUGGGCUUACGCCUGAACCAGCCAAGUCGCGUGAGGGAAGACUGCCCUAUGGGUUGUAAACCUCUUUUGUCAGGGAGCAACGCCGGCUACGUGUAGCCGGCCUGAUAGUACCUGCAGACAAAGCAUCGGCUAACUCCGUGCCAGCAGCCGCGGUAAUACGGAGGAUGCGAGCGUUAUCCGGAUUUAUUGGGUUUAAAGGGUGCGUAGGCGGACUGCCAAGUCAGCGGUAAAAUCGCGGGGCUCAACCUCGAUCCGCCGUUGAAACUGGCGGUCUGGAGUGGGCGAGAGGUAGGCGGAAUGCGUGGUGUAGCGGUGAAAUGCAUAGAUAUCACGCAGAACUCCGAUUGCGAAGGCAGCAUACCGGCGCCCAACUGACGCUGAAGCACGAAAGCGUGGGUAUCGAACAGGAUUAGAUACCCUUGUAGUC